UUUCAGUUGCGAGAGCAGAGCUUAGAGAAAAAAAAAAAAGAAAAUGGCAAAAAGCGACGUGAAGGUUUUGGGUGCGUGGCCAAGCCCAUUUGUGAUGAGGGCAAGAAUCGCACUUAAGAUCAAGUCUGUGGAGUAUGAGUUUCUGGAGGAGAAUUUGGGAUCCAAAAGCGAGCUUCUGCUUAAAUCAAACCCUGUUCACAAGAAAAUCCCAGUUCUGAUUCACAAUGAUAAGCCUGUUUGCGAAUCUCUCAUCAUUGUCGAGUACGUGGAUGAGGCUUGGUCCUCUUCAGGUCCCUCUAUUCUUCCUUCUGAUCCUUAUGACCGUGCCGUUGCUCGUUUCUGGGCCGCUUAUGUUGAUGAGAAGGUACAGUUUCCUUUCUUUGUUUUGUAGAAGAUGUUUUAAGUCAAUUCUUUUUAUUCGAAUUAUGUGCAUCUAAAAUUUUUUAAAACUUUUUCAGUUUUGAAAACUGUUUUCGGAAAUUAAUAGUCUCUCUUGUUAAAUCAAAGAGGUAAAGUGUGUGAUUGGAAUUAUUUCCGGUGGAAAAAUGAACUUGAAAAGAAAACUAAAGAAAGAUUAAGAAAGCAGAGCCCAAGAGGAAAACAAUCAAUAGAAUCUGGAAGUUUGAUUUUUCAUAAAACGGGCUUUCUAGAGACCCCCAAUAACCAAUUCUCGCAUUAAUUGCUAAGGAGCACUUUCAAGUCUCUCGACUCCCGAGCCUCCUAAGCCUUGUCCUUAAAACUAUCGUUCGAUAAAUCGAACGCUAGACGAACAGAAAGCAGGUAAGCCCUUAAAAGAAAAGCUUUGAAGGUAACUGUGCCAAGUAUGGGCUCACGCUCUUCGCAGGCUCCGGCCUCUUUAGGGUUUGGGCAUACUAAGUAUGUAGCAGAGCCCAAAAGGAAAACGAUCAAUAGAAUCUAGAAGUAAAUCUGGAGAAGUGACAUAUACUCACAUAUCUAAGGAAAUAAAUAUAUAUGAAUCUUAAGAGAUGAUACUGAUAGAGAUUGGAGAGAUAGCAAGAACGAAUCUUUAACUUGACAUAAAGCAUAUAAGAAUCAAUUGGUAGUGAUUGAAAUCUCGCCUUGAUUGAUCAAAUUAUGAUAUAUCUAUUAUGAUUUGCAGUUGUUCCCUGCCUUGAAAAGCAUUGGUAGUGGAGAUGGAGCGGAAGCUAAGAAAGCUGCGAUUGAGCAAUUGAUUGAAGGCUUGGUUUUGCUGGAGGAUGCUUUUGUUAAGUGUAGCAAAGGGAAGCCUUUCUUUGGUGGAAGCCAAAUUGGGUUUCUUGACAUUGCAUUUGGUUGCUACUUGGGAUGGGUGAGAGUGACAGAGAAAAUGAAUGAGGUGAAGCUCCUUGAUGAAGUCAAAACUCCUGGACUGUUCAAAUGGGCUGAGAGAUUCUGUGCUGAUGCCGCUGUCAAAGAUGUUAUGCCUGAGACUGAUAAGCUUGCAGAGUUUGCUAAGGUUCUUGCCAAACUCAGAGCUUCUGGCAAAUGGAAUUAAGAAGCUUAAUUCUGUGCCUGGAGGGGCACAAAAAAAAAGAAAAAGAAAAAAAAAAGAGUUGUUUCCAGAAAUAAAUUCGAAUAAGGAUUAAGUUUUGUUUUUGGUUUAGUUUGGAACGGUAAAGCCUGUAUCAUUUGGGUUCUGUUAUCGGGCUAGGCAGCAGCCUCUCUCGUGUCUCCUAAAAUUGAAAUUCCUUUCAGUCAUCUGCUGCAAAGAGCUCAUUAUCUAUACUCAUGUAUACCAAGUGAAGGUAUAAAGGUUACUGUGUUGUUUUUCUCCGCAGAAUUUUUUCCCACAUACGGUACACAUCUGGGCUACGUGCCAUAUUCGUUGUUAUAAAAGUUAUCGUAUUAUGUAACGGUGGAAUUCCCGCAUGGCAUUUUGCAAGAAUUAACGAUUUUCGAACUCAAUAAUCUUAAAUAUUUGAGUUGCAAUCUGAAUUCUGUUGCACUUAUCAAUUGAAUAGUAUAAUAGAGGAAUAAAUAAUUUUGUAUUUAUCAUUCCAUAGAUGAGUAAUACAUGGUAUCAAAAUUUUAAGUUAGAAUUUAAAUAUUAAAAUCUGUUUGGGCAUAUGGCUAAAAUCAAUUCACAAUCUUUAUCAUCCUAAAAUGAGACUUUGGCGACGAGCACACUGCUGGACAAAGUAGUUAUUAAUAAUCAUAUCAAAACUGAUUAAAAUGACCAUCAAACAUGUGUUGAUUGAAUAAAUUGUGUGCAGAAUUUGAUAUUCUGUUAUUCUCUUUCCCAGAAAUCAAUUCUUAACACCACCACCACACCAGAACUGUAUACAUUUCACUAGUUUCAGUCAACCGAAACGGCCGGUAAAAUACGGUCUGUAUACCCGGCCCUACCCUGAGGCCCAACUCGUCCUGACUUCGUCGGACCCUAACCAAAGUUAUUAAACAAGAAGCUGCGCUAAGCCACCGAGAGUCUGAGACUGCAGCGCCAGUCCCCAUUUAAACGGGAAAAACAAAAAAAAGAGAGAAAAAAUGGCAACACUGAAGAAAAUCCCUUUGGUUCUGAUGGGAUGCGGAGGCGUCGGACGCCAGCUCCUCCAGCACAUUGUUUCCUGCCGAUCACUUCAUGCCAAUCUGGUACUCCUUCUCUACUUUCCAAAGUUUAUUAGCGCCCCCAAAUUAACUAAUUAAUUAAUUAUUUAGUAGCUAUAUAUUCAUUAAUUAUUACAUGUCGGAGAUGUAUUCUUUUGAUAUGAAUGUGCCUGUCUUCUAAUAAACUCGUCGAUGAUUCUGUUUCUAUAGAAGACUGGUAAAUUUGUUUUAACUGUAACACUUCAUGAUUGAUGAUCGGUCGGCACGGCAGGGGGUGCAUUUGCGAGUGGUAGGAGUAAGUGACAGCAAGUCAUUGGUUGUUGCGUCGGAUGUUUUCACAAAGGAGUUCAACGAUAACCUCUUAUCAGAAAUUUGUCGCCUCAAGGCGGACCACUCUUCUCUCUCAACGCUUAUUAGUGGUUUCGGAGGUAAUCCUCUUGUAUUGUAUUGUUGAGGAUUUAAUAGAUUACUUAUUCUGUUUAUUUCUCAUGCUUUUGCUUUUCUUUUGAUUCUUUAUCAAAGGUGAAUGCCAAGUGUUUCUCGAUUCUGAUUUGAGAGGAAAGUUAUCAGAAAUUGCAUCUCUUCUGGGUAUAUCAACAGGUUCGUCUUCGUGACAAAUUACUAUCUUACCGGCCUUUAUACUUCUUUUGAAACACUGAUUAGUUUUUCAAUCAAUUGAAGUUUCAUGUUUGUUUUUAGAGUUUAGUGAUUCUUAUCAUUCAUUCACCUCAAGCAAGGUCAUUUCAAGCUUGGUCUUUUGCUUAAUCUUGCAACAGGUUUGGCCUUUGUUGAUUGCUCUGCCAGUUCUGAGACUGUUGAAAUAUUAACUCAAGCAGUUGAUUUGGGUUGUUGCAUUGUCUUGGCAAACAAGAAGCCUCUUAUGUCUACAAUGGUAAUAACUCUACAAGGCUUCCUUAUUUGGUUGUAACUGGACUUAGUUGGACAUGUAUAGUCAUCCUAUGGCCAUUCCAUGAUCAACCACUAACAGACUUAAUUCUGGAGAUGGCGACACUUCCUGCUGUCAUUAAAUGCUGCAAUGCCAUUUCUUUUGUGGCCAAUUCGAACAUUCUAUAUUUUUACCAUUUAAGAUGAAUUACGUUUGGUGUUUAAUUCUUUUAAAAUUAAAAAUGACAAAUUUUCAUUGAGCAAUUUAGUGCAAUAUUAAUGUUUUUGAAUUUUUUUACCAACCUCAUGCUAUUCUGUAAUGUAGGAGGAUUAUGACAAAUUGGUCUCACAUCCACGCUGUAUUCGGUAUGAGUCAACUGUAAGUGAAGUUUCCUGCUUUUGUCAUAUAAAAGGAAAUCGUGGGUGAAGUGUCUCAUUUGAUGUCUGUUUCUCCAUAGGUUGGUGCUGGCCUUCCUGUCAUAGCAUCCUUAAAUCGUAUUCUUUCUUCUGGAGACCCUGUCCAUCGUAUUGUUGGAAGUCUGAGUGGUAUUGGUUUUCUUUUCUUUUCUUUUCUUUUUUUUUUUGGGUUAGACAUUUAUUCUUCCUUCACAUAUGAAGUUCAUGCUUUUCCUGUAUCUGCUUGUAUUUUUUUGCAACCAUAUUUCAUAUAUGAAUAUUGGCUGUCAUUUGCAUAAUAUAUUUUGUAUUAGGUACAUUGGGGUAUGUAAUGAGCAAGGUUGAAGAUGGGAAGCCACUUAGUCAAGUUGUUAAAGCUGCUAAAAGCCUGGGAUACACUGAACCAGGUUUAAUUGUGAUUUUAAAUUUCUAUAUUGCAGUAGAUCAUAUCUUUUCUAUAAGUAUAUUCAGUUGCAUCUUCUAAUUUUGUUUAUGCAUGCUUACAAAUUUAUAUUAAAAUAUUUACACAAUUUAAUUCUUAUUAUUUUUCGUUUAUGGACUUUUUUUUUUUGGCUGUAAUAUUGUUUUUCCAAAUAUUCAUGCAUUAAGCAUUGUUCUUUUCAGCAUUGUUUACCAUUGACCAGUGCUUUGGAAACUUGAAGCAAAAGUUUCUUCAAUUUGGUUUGGAUUAUUAAAACACAGGAAUAGCCUGGUUUGCUUUGGUUACUUUCUUUGUCAGGUUUAUAAAGCUAUCUAAUCCUGUGGGGUAUUUUACACUUUAUGAAUUUGUUGAAGUGACAGACUGAUGACAAUUGAACCCAAGCAACUCAUCGGUACUUGUAAUUAUGGUGGAAUUCCUGAGUUUGUGGUUAUGAAAACUCCAUUAUUAAGCUUUUACGAAGACAACUUCCACAGCUGCAGAGGAGAAGAGAAGCACCAGUGGUCUAGUGGUAGAAUAGCACCCUGCCACGGGGUUCGAUUCCCGGCUGGUGCAUGUAUUUUUGUGGCCUUUUUGCCUUUUGGGGCAUUUGUCAGAAAAUACUAUCUCCACGCGCCUUCGUAAGUCACCAGCUUUUUUAAUUCAUAAAACUCUUGGACUGUCUCCAGAUCCAUAUCUUGUGGAUGUGGUCCAGCCAUCCAGACAAAUCGCAUCUUCGACGCACUUCUUAAUUCCUACCAGUAACCGCCCUUGAGCCUUCCCAUCCAAUUCCAACGAGCUGCCAGCUUAUAAUAACAACAACUUGCUCGGUCAAAGGACGAAAGGACAAACUGUGUCAUUAUUUGUUUUCGGUCAUUUCAAUGUGUGAACACUCACUGACUCACAUCAGAAAGACCAAUAAAUAUCCAUGAAAAUGGGACAUGGCUGCGGCGCAGAAGCUGCAAGUAACAGCUUCAAACCUUCCCAUUUCCAUCACCUUGCAUUGGGACCUCUUUCUCUCUCCUCUGGCACCCGUAGAAGUUCCCCAUUGGCUGCUGUUACUGACAGAAGCCGUAACAUAAUUGAUUCCGAGCUGCCCAUUUCGUACCCCUCUAACAGUCAAACGUUCACAUUAGUGGCGUAGUUCACAUCCCCUACAUUCAUCUGGAUCUAAUUAUAAAUACACACCCCACGAAGCAAAAGACAUUUCAUUUCAGUUGCGAGAGCAGAGCUUAGAGAGAAAAAAAAAGAAAAUGGCAAAAAGUGACGUGAAGGUUUUGGGUUUUUCGCCAAGCCCAUUUGUGAUGAGGGCAAGAAUCGCACUUAAGAUCAAGUCUGUGGAGUAUGAGUUUCUGGAGGAGAAUUUGGGAUCCAAAAGCGAGCUUCUGCUUAAAUCAAACCCUGUUCACAAGAAAAUCCCAGUUCUGAUUCACAAUGAUAAGCCUGUUUGCGAAUCUCUCAUUAUUGUCGAGUACGUGGAUGAGGCUUGGUCCUCUUCAGGUCCCUCUAUUCUUCCUUCUGAUCCUUAUGACCGUGCAGUUGCUCGUUUCUGGGCCGCUUACGUUGAUGAGAAGGUAUAUUUUCCUUUCUUUGUUUUGAAAAAAAUGUUUUAAGUCAAUGCUUUUUAUUCGAAUUAUGUGCAUCUAAAAUUUUUUAAUCUUUUUCAGUUUUGAAAACUGUUUUCGGAAAUUAAUAGAGUCUCUCUUGGUAAAUCAAGGAGGUAAAGCGCGUGAUUGGAAUUAUUUCCGGUGGAAAAAUGAACUUGAAAAGAAAACUAAAGAAAGAUUAAGAAAGCAGAGCCCAAAAGGAAAACAAUCAACACAAUCUAGAAGUAAAUCUGUAGAAGUGACGUAUACUCACAUAUCUAAGGAAACAAAUAUAUAUGAAUCUUAAGAGAUGAUACUGAUAGAGAUUAGAGAGAGAGCAAGAACGAAUCUUCAACUUGACAAAAAGCAUAUAAGAAUCAAUUGGCAGGUAGUGAUUGAAAUCUGGCCUUGAUUGAUCAAAUUAUGAUAUAUCUAUUAUGAUUUGCAGUGGUUCUCUGCCUUGAGAGACAUUGGUAGUGCAAAUGGAGCGGAAGCUAAGAAAGCUGCGAUUGAGCAAUUGAUUGAAGUCUUGGUUUUGCUGGAGGAUGCUUUUGUUAAGUGCAGCAAAGGGAAGCCUUUCUUUGGUGGAAACCAAAUUGGGUUUCUUGACAUUGCAUUUGGUAGCUACUUGGGAUGGCUGAGAGUGACAGAGAAAAUGAAUGAGGUGAAGCUCCUUGAUGAAGUCAAAACUCCUGGACUGUUGAAAUGGGCUGAGAGAUUCUGUGCUGACGCUGCUGUCAAAGAUGUUAUGCCUGAGACCGAUAAGCUUGCCAAACUCAGAGCUUCUGCUCCGCCUUCCAGCUGAUUUAAGCUAAAUACUGGACAUUAGUCUAGCAAUGGAACUAAGAAACUUAAUUAUGUGCUUGAAGGGGCCCAAAAACAAAAAAAAAAAAAAAAAGAGUUGUUUUCAGAAAUUAAUUCGAAUAAGAAUUAAUGGCGACCAUAAAGUUAGUAGUUUUGUUUUUGGUUUCGUUUGGAACGGUAAAGCCUGUAUCAUUUGGGUUCUGUUAUCGGACUAGGCAGCAGCCUGUCUCGUGUCUUAUAAAAUUGAAAUUCCUUUCAGUCAUUUGCUGGAAAGAGCUUAUUAUCUAUAUAUACUCAUGUAUAAUACCAAGUAAAGGUAUGAAGGUUAUUGUGUUGUUUUUUCUCUGUGGAAUUUUUCCCCACAUACAGUACACAUCUCGGCUACGUGCCAUAUAUGGUGUUAUAAAGUUAUCGUAUUAUGUAACGGUGAAA
RNAcentral lists this long non-coding RNA (7065 nucleotides) under Citrus maxima (pomelo). RNAcentral's name for it is "long non-coding RNA (CMAX_LNC003227)". Lineage: Eukaryota; Viridiplantae; Streptophyta; Magnoliopsida; Sapindales; Rutaceae. The record is from RNAcentral.